UACGAAGGGUGCAAACGUUGCUCGGAAUUAUUGGGCGUAAAGGGCGCGUAGGCGGCCUGUUAAGUCGAACGUGAAAUCCCCGGGCUCAACCCGGGAACUGCGUCCGAUACUGGCAGGCUUGAAUCCGGGAGAGGGAUGCGGAAUUCCAGGUGUAGCGGUGAAAUGCGUAGAUAUCUGGAGGAACACCGGUGGCGAAGGCGGCAUCCUGGACCGGCACUGACGCUGAGGCGCGAAAGCUAGGGGAGCAAGCGGG
RNAcentral lists this ribosomal RNA (253 nucleotides) under uncultured bacterium. RNAcentral's name for it is "partial 16S ribosomal RNA". It matches the Rfam family "Bacterial small subunit ribosomal RNA", at positions 524 to 776 of the family's 1533-position model. The record is from RNAcentral.